This 422-nucleotide ribosomal RNA is filed under the name uncultured Pedobacter sp. RNAcentral's name for it is "bacterial SSU rRNA". It matches the Rfam family "Bacterial small subunit ribosomal RNA", at positions 355 to 774 of the family's 1533-position model. The record is from RNAcentral. Lineage: Bacteria; Pseudomonadati; Bacteroidota; Sphingobacteriia; Sphingobacteriales; Sphingobacteriaceae.
UAAGGAAUAUUGGUCAAUGGAGGCAACUCUGAACCAGCCAUGCCGCGUGCAGGAAGACAGCCCUCUGGGUCGUAAACUGCUUUUAUUCGGGAAUAAACCUUAUUACGUGUAAUAAGCUGAAUGUACCGAAGGAAUAAGGAUCGGCUAACUCCGUGCCAGCAGCCGCGGUAAUACGGAGGAUCCAAGCGUUAUCCGGAUUUAUUGGGUUUAAAGGGUGCGUAGGCGGCUUAUUAAGUCAGGGGUGAAAGACGGUGGCUCAACCAUCGCAGUGCCCUUGAUACUGAAGAGCUUGAAUAAACUAGAGGUAGGCGGAAUGUGACAAGUAGCGGUGAAAUGCAUAGAUAUGUCACAGAACACCAAUUGCGAAGGCAGCUUACUAUGGUUUAAUUGACGCUGAGGCACGAAAGCGUGGGGAUCAAACA